This is a small nucleolar RNA of Cercocebus atys (sooty mangabey), 68 nucleotides long. The record is from Ensembl. NCBI's taxonomy places the organism in Eukaryota, Metazoa, Chordata, Mammalia, Primates, Cercopithecidae.
AUACUAUGAUGGUUGCAUAGUUCAGCAGAUUGAACCAUGAAGAAAUGUACCAUGUGUCUUAUGUAUCU